AAAGCAAGGCACUGAAAAUGCCAAGAUGAGUCGCACGACUCCAUAAACA
RNAcentral lists this transfer RNA (49 nucleotides) under Canis lupus (wolf). Its description in RNAcentral is "partial tRNA-Phe". RNAcentral also lists the same sequence under 1 other name. Lineage: Eukaryota; Metazoa; Chordata; Mammalia; Carnivora; Canidae. The record is from RNAcentral.